UUAGUUUGAGGUGUUAGGGAUUGUUAAAAAACUGAGAUAUGAGGAAUCUGGAACAGUAAUAUACAAAGACCCAACAAUUAGUUUGUUUACUUUGAGUGAUGAUAAAGGUUCCCAAGAUAUAGUUGAUUUAUGUAAGGUACAAAAGAGUGUUCAUUUGUAUGUGCAACAUUCAGUUUCUCAACUAGAUUAUUAUGAUGGACCUUUAGAGGAUGAAACUGAAAACA
This 224-nucleotide long non-coding RNA is filed under the name Lathyrus oleraceus (garden pea). Its description in RNAcentral is "Pisum sativum (pea) long non-coding RNA (PSAT_LNC011877)". The record is from RNAcentral. Lineage: Eukaryota; Viridiplantae; Streptophyta; Magnoliopsida; Fabales; Fabaceae.